This 698-nucleotide ribosomal RNA is filed under the name Bacillus cereus. RNAcentral's name for it is "bacterial SSU rRNA". It matches the Rfam family "Bacterial small subunit ribosomal RNA", at positions 103 to 786 of the family's 1533-position model. Lineage: Bacteria; Bacillati; Bacillota; Bacilli; Caryophanales; Bacillaceae. The record is from RNAcentral.
CGGGUGAGUAACACGUGGGUAACCUGCCCAUAAGACUGGGAUAACUCCGGGAAACCGGGGCUAAUACCGGAUAACAUUUUGAACCGCAUGGUUCGAAAUUGAAAGGCGGCUUCGGCUGUCACUUAUGGAUGGACCCGCGUCGCAUUAGCUAGUUGGUGAGGUAACGGCUCACCAAGGCAACGAUGCGUAGCCGACCUGAGAGGGUGAUCGGCCACACUGGGACUGAGACACGGCCCAGACUCCUACGGGAGGCAGCAGUAGGGAAUCUUCCGCAAUGGACGAAAGUCUGACGGAGCAACGCCGCGUGAGUGAUGAAGGCUUUCGGGUCGUAAAACUCUGUUGUUAGGGAAGAACAAGUGCUAGUUGAAUAAGCUGGCACCUUGACGGUACCUAACCAGAAAGCCACGGCUAACUACGUGCCAGCAGCCGCGGUAAUACGUAGGUGGCAAGCGUUAUCCGGAAUUAUUGGGCGUAAAGCGCGCGCAGGUGGUUUCUUAAGUCUGAUGUGAAAGCCCACGGCUCAACCGUGGAGGGUCAUUGGAAACUGGGAGACUUGAGUGCAGAAGAGGAAAGUGGAAUUCCAUGUGUAGCGGUGAAAUGCGUAGAGAUAUGGAGGAACACCAGUGGCGAAGGCGACUUUCUGGUCUGUAACUGACACUGAGGCGCGAAAGCGUGGGGAGCAAACAGGAUUAGAUACC